This is a non-coding RNA of Acanthosepion pharaonis, 97 nucleotides long. The record is from the annotation of a GenBank genome assembly. Lineage: Eukaryota; Metazoa; Mollusca; Cephalopoda; Sepiida; Sepiidae.
UUCAAAUACGGGUUCUCAUAUGAUCACUGAAGUUAAACAAUGUCAAGCCUGGUCAGUACUUAACUGGGUGACCACUUGGAAACAUCAGGUGCUGUAU